This 68-nucleotide transfer RNA is filed under the name Anolis intermedius. RNAcentral describes it as "tRNA-Tyr". The record is from RNAcentral. Lineage: Eukaryota; Metazoa; Chordata; Lepidosauria; Squamata; Anolidae.
GAUAAUGAAAGGAAUUAAACCUUUAUGAGCAGGGCUACAGCCUGCCGCUUAACAUCGGGCCACUUACC